GACGUAGGGCGCGAGCGUUGUCCGGAUUUAUUGGGCGUAAAGAGCUCGUAGGCGGUUUGUCACGUCAGGAGUGAAAACUCGGGGCUCAACCCCGAGCCUGCUUCUGAUACGGGCAGACUGGAGGUAUGCAGGGGAGAACGGAAUUCCUGGUGUAGCGGUGAAAUGCGCAGAUAUCAGGAGGAACACCAAUGGCGAAGGCAGGUCUCUGGGCCAUUACUGACACUGAGAAGCGAAAGCAUGAGGAGCGAACAGG
Molecule: ribosomal RNA, 253 nt
Filed under: uncultured bacterium
Lineage: Bacteria
Description: partial 16S ribosomal RNA
Rfam family: Bacterial small subunit ribosomal RNA
Source: RNAcentral